This 77-nucleotide transfer RNA is filed under the name Coprobacillus cateniformis. Its description in RNAcentral is "tRNA-Asn". It matches the Rfam family "tRNA". Rfam says of the family: Transfer RNA (tRNA) molecules are approximately 80 nucleotides in length. Their secondary structure includes four short double-helical elements and three loops (D, anti-codon, and T loops). The record is from RNAcentral. Lineage: Bacteria; Bacillati; Bacillota; Erysipelotrichia; Erysipelotrichales; Coprobacillaceae.
GGACCUUUAGCUCAGUUGGUUAGAGCGUUCGCCUGUUAAGCGAAGGGUCGCAGGUUCAAGUCCUGCAGGGUCCGCCA